UACGAAGGGGGGCUAGCGUUGUUCGGAUUUACUGGGCGUAAAGCGCACGUAGGCGGAUCGUUAAGUCAGGGGUGAAAUCCUGGAGCUCAACUCCAGAACUGCCUUUGAUACUGGCGAUCUUGAGUCCGGAAGAGGUGAGUGGAACUCCUAGUGUAGAGGUGGAAUUCGUAGAUAUUAGGAAGAACACCAGUGGCGAAGGCGGCUCACUGGUCCGGUACUGACGCUGAGGCACGAAAGCGUGGGGAGCAAACAGGG
RNAcentral lists this ribosomal RNA (255 nucleotides) under uncultured bacterium. RNAcentral's name for it is "partial 16S ribosomal RNA". It matches the Rfam family "Bacterial small subunit ribosomal RNA", at positions 524 to 777 of the family's 1533-position model. The record is from RNAcentral.